RNAcentral lists this ribosomal RNA (443 nucleotides) under uncultured bacterium. RNAcentral's name for it is "partial 16S ribosomal RNA". It matches the Rfam family "Bacterial small subunit ribosomal RNA", at positions 338 to 795 of the family's 1533-position model. The record is from RNAcentral.
CCUACGGGCGGCAGCAGUGGGGAAUAUUGGGCAAUGGGCGCAAGCCUGACCCAGCAACGCCGCGUGAAGGAAGAAGGCUUUCGGGUUGUAAACUUCUUUUCUCAGGGACGAAGCAAGUGAAGGUACCUGAGGAAUAAGCCACGGCUAACUACGUGCCAGCAGCCGCGGUAAUACGUAGGUGGCAAGGGUUAGUCGGAUUUACUGGGUGUAAAGGGCGUGGAGGCGGGGACGCAAGUCAGAUGUGAAAACCACGGGCUCAACCUGUGGACUUCAUUUGAAACUGUGUUUCUUGAGUACUGGAGGGGCAGACGGAAUUCCUAGUGUAGCGGUGAAAUGCGUAGAUAUUAGGAGGAACACCAGUGGCGAAGGCGGUCUGCUGGACAGCAACUGACGCUGAGGCGCGAAAGCGUGGGGAGCAAACAGGAUUAGAUACCCGUGUAGUC